AUAAAAGCAUAGCAGGAGAGAAAGAAAGCUGGAUUAUCUAAAGAGAGUCGUGAAUGGUGAGAUGCGGCAUUAAACGGUUUUGUAAUAUACACUCCCAAGCUUAUCUGUUGAAAUUAUAGUAGGUAGAUACGGACGCCCCCGUUAACGUAGGAUAAGGAUUUGUUGAUCCUGAAUAAGGUAAUCUUUUAUUGAUUAUGAAAUAGGGUGGUACCGCGUAAGUCAAGUCUUUCGCCCCUUAG
RNAcentral lists this non-coding RNA (239 nucleotides) under Anaerosphaera aminiphila. RNAcentral's name for it is "T-box sequence". It matches the Rfam family "T-box leader". Rfam says of the family: Uncharged tRNA acts as the effector for transcription antitermination of genes in the T-box leader family. Lineage: Bacteria; Bacillati; Bacillota; Tissierellia; Tissierellales; Peptoniphilaceae. The record is from RNAcentral.